UAAAAAGUAGACCAAAAGAAGUCUAAACCAAA
Molecule: non-coding RNA, 32 nt
Filed under: Mus musculus (house mouse)
Lineage: Eukaryota; Metazoa; Chordata; Mammalia; Rodentia; Muridae
Source: RNAcentral